AUUGAACGCUGGCGGCAGGCCUAACACAUGCAAGUCGAGCGGACGAAGGGAGCUUGCUCCUGGAUUCAGCGGCGGACGGGUGAGUAAUGCCUAGGAAUCUGCCUGGUAGUGGGGGAUAACGUCCGGAAACGGGCGCUAAUAUCGCAUACGUCCUGAGGGAGAAAGUGGGGGUUCUUCGGACAUCACGCUAUCAGAUGAGCCUAGGUCGGAUUAGCUAGUUGGUGGGGUAAAGGCCUACCAAGGCGACGAUCCGUAACUGGCCUGAGAGGAUGAUCAGUCACACUGGAACUGAGACACGGUCCAGACUCCUACGGGAGGCAGCAGUAGGGAAUAUUGCGCAAAGGGCGAAAGCCUGACGGAGCAAUGCCGCGUGAGUGAUGAAGGUCUUCGGAUUGUAAAACUCUGUUAUUAGGGAAGAACAAAUGUGUGAGUAACUAUGCCUGUUUUGACGUUACCAACACAGAAAGCACCGGCUAACUACGUG
This 484-nucleotide ribosomal RNA is filed under the name uncultured bacterium. RNAcentral's name for it is "partial 16S ribosomal RNA". It matches the Rfam family "Bacterial small subunit ribosomal RNA", at positions 30 to 507 of the family's 1533-position model. The record is from RNAcentral.